AGUGUAGGCGGGAUCGUAAGUUAGGAGUUUAAUACAUGGGCUUAACCCAUGAGCUGCUUUUAAUACUGCGGUUCUUGGGUAUGGGAGAGGGCGAUGGAAUUCCAGGUGUAGCGGUGGAAUGCGUAGAUAUCUGGAAGAACACCAGUAGCGAAGGCGGUCGCCUGGCCCAAUACUGACGCUGAUGCUCGAAAGCUAGGGGAGCAAACAGGAUUAGAUACCCUGGUAGUCCUAGCCGUAAACGAUGGACACUAGUUGCUGGAGGAGUCAAUCCUUUCGGUGACGAAGCUAACGCAUUAAGUGUCCCGCCUGGGGAGUACGUUCGCAAGGAUGAA
RNAcentral lists this ribosomal RNA (332 nucleotides) under uncultured bacterium. RNAcentral describes it as "bacterial SSU rRNA". It matches the Rfam family "Bacterial small subunit ribosomal RNA", at positions 568 to 898 of the family's 1533-position model. The record is from RNAcentral.